AUCUGACAAAUGUUUUAAAUGCUACACUCAUGAUCUUAUUAUCCAUCAACUUUGUCUUGCUCACUAUGCUUAAGGUUAGAGAGAACAAAUACACUUUUGGUUCUGUUGGUGUUUUCCACCAACAGGGCCCAUGCACUUGAUCUCUGCCUUGUCUCUACGAGCAGGUACACUUCGAGCAAAAUAUGAAGGACUUUUACAACUCCCAGACUCCACCAAGUGAAGAACCUAGAUCUACG
This 236-nucleotide long non-coding RNA is filed under the name Sorghum bicolor (sorghum). RNAcentral describes it as "long non-coding RNA (SBIC_LNC012931)". The record is from RNAcentral. Lineage: Eukaryota; Viridiplantae; Streptophyta; Magnoliopsida; Poales; Poaceae.